Molecule: unclassified non-coding RNA, 367 nt
Filed under: fungal sp.
Lineage: Eukaryota; Fungi
Description: partial internal transcribed spacer region
Rfam family: Eukaryotic small subunit ribosomal RNA (bases 1-46)
Source: RNAcentral
AAGUCGUAACAAGGUUUCCGUAGGUGAACCUGCGGAAGGAUCAUUAACACGUAUCCAACGUUAAACAACCCUGUGAACUUUAAGUCCCCUCUUGCAGCCCAUGAGGAACAGCAAUCCCGGUAAAUCAUUGAGUUGCAAUCGAAGGGUGGAAGCAGUGGCAUGGCUUCCCCAAGCAGUUAGUGAAUGACAGUGUCACUGACUGUGUAAGGAUAACGCCUCACGGUUGCUAGAGGUCGAUCACCGACCGGCAGACAUGUCACAGGGUCACCACGCCCCUUAAUCACUCCACUUGAAAAUGCCCCGCCUAGUGGUAACGCGCUAGGUAAAAAAAACCGAACAACUGUUAACAAUGGAUAUCUUGGUUCUC